This 536-nucleotide ribosomal RNA is filed under the name uncultured fungus. RNAcentral's name for it is "eukaryotic LSU rRNA". It matches the Rfam family "Eukaryotic large subunit ribosomal RNA", at positions 104 to 635 of the family's 3401-position model. The record is from RNAcentral. Lineage: Eukaryota; Fungi.
GAGCUCAAAUUUGGAAUCUGGCUGUUUUGCAGUCCGAGUUGUAAUUUAAAGAAGUGCUGUCCGCGCCGGACCUCGUAUGAGUCUGCUGGAAUGUAGCGUCAAAGAGGGUGAGAACCCCGUUCAUGAUGAGACUCCCGGUGCUUUGUGUCACACUUUCAACGAGUCGAGUUGUUUGGGAAUGCAGCUCAAAUUGGGUGGUAAAUUCCAUCUAAAGCUAAAUAUUGGCGGGAGACCGAUAGCGAACAAGUACCGUGAGGGAAAGAUGAAAAGCACUUUGGAAAGAGAGUCAAACAGUACGUGAAAUUGUUGAAAGGGAAACGCUUGAAGUCAGACAUGCUUGCGGGGUUCAGCCUUCGGGUGUAUUCCUUCGCUUUGCAGGCUAGCAUCAGUUUUGUGGACCGGAUAAGGGUUUGGGGAAGGUGGCAUCUUCGGGUGUGUUAUAGCCCCUUGCUUGAUACGGUCUGUGGGACUGAGGAUCGCAGCGCGCCCUUGUGGCAUUGGCUUUGGCCUUUUCGCGCUUAGGAUGCUGGCUUAAU